Molecule: long non-coding RNA, 527 nt
Organism: Rosa chinensis
Lineage: Eukaryota; Viridiplantae; Streptophyta; Magnoliopsida; Rosales; Rosaceae
Exons: 3
Source: RefSeq, a predicted model, not a curated record
AGGUUGCUCAUGAACUCAGAGAAAGACUCAUUUUCGUAUUCCAGAAGUACCAAAAAGUUCUCUAUAAUUAGGAAGCUAAAGUUACAGCAGCUUUUAAGUCCCAAAUCGAGAAGCUAUAGAAAGAGAGAGAUGAGUUUCAGAAGAUUGUCAUUGGGAAUCAGGUUGGACGUUUGGGUUUAAUGUAGACUUGUGUUGUUGUGCUACUAUUUGAAACUGGACUAAUGCUGACAAGUAUUAGUGAUAUGUUGAUGCUGUUCAAAGCAAGUUAAGACUCAACAGAUGCAUGAUUUUAAGAAAAAAGAAAAGCAUUGACCAAAAAAAGAAAAAGAAAAGGAGUAUAUAAAGCUGCAGUGACAACCCAUCACAUCUAAUAGCAAAUGAAGAACUCACUAUCACAGAAGAGGCCUCAACAACAUAUGAACCAACAGAUGACAUAUCUGAAGAACUCAUGUAGAAUGAUUCGUUCAAACUCAAAAUGUAGAAUAUUUUGUAGAAAAAUAUUGAGAGUCCCAAUGCUGGUAUUGAGA